Molecule: unclassified non-coding RNA, 481 nt
Filed under: Microcystis aeruginosa CS 579
Lineage: Bacteria; Bacillati; Cyanobacteriota; Cyanophyceae; Chroococcales; Microcystaceae
Description: partial contains 16S ribosomal RNA, 16S-23S ribosomal RNA intergenic spacer, and 23S ribosomal RNA
Rfam family: Bacterial small subunit ribosomal RNA (bases 1-109)
Source: RNAcentral
AGUCAUUACCUCAACCGCAAGGAGGGGGAUGCCUAAGGCAGGGCUAGUGACUGGGGUGAAGUCGUAACAAGGUAGCCGUACCGGAAGGUGUGGCUGGAUCACCUCCUUAAAGGGAGACCUAAUUCGGGUAGGAGACGAAAAAAAAGUAGUCGCUACCAAGAAUCAAUCCCAAAAGGUCGGAGCGAGGCGAAAUUGGCUUUCAAACUAGGUUCUGGGUUCACACAAGACCUGAAUCAGGAACAAGGGCUAUUAGCUCAGGUGGUUAGAGCGCACCCCUGAUAAGGGUGAGGUCCCUGGUUCGAGUCCAGGAUGGCCCACCUGUACAGGUGGCCAAAACCAAGAAAAGAAGCGAGGAAUCAGCACCUGCUCUUACCUACAUAGUAAGAGAGAAUGCUGGCUCUGAGUACAGAGUCCAGAGGAACCUUGAAAACUGCAUAGAGCUAGGUGAAAAAGCCAAAAAAGAAGACCGCAAGUCAAGCUA